GUGAGGAAUAUUGGACAAUGGGCGCAAGCAUGAUCCAGCCAUGCCGCGUGCAGGAAGACGCAUCUAUGGUGUGUAAACUGCUUUUGUACGGGAAGAAACACUCCCUCGUGAGGGAGCUUGACGGUACCGUAAGAAUAAGGAUCGGCUAACUCCGUGCCAGCAGCCGCGGUAAUACGGAGGAUCCAAGCGUUAUCCGGAAUCAUUGGGUUUAAAGGGUCCGUAGGCGGUUUAAUAAGUCAGUGGUGAAAGACCAUCGCUCAACGAUGGAACGGCCAUUGAUACUGUUAGACUUGAAUUACAAGGAAGUAACUAGAAUAUGUAGUGUAGCGGUGAAAUGCUUAGAUAUUACAUGGAAUACCAAUUGCGAAGGCAGGUUACUACUUGUGGAUUGACGCUGAUGGACGAAAGCGUGGGGAGCGAACAGGAUUAGAAACCCGUGUAGUCC
This 445-nucleotide ribosomal RNA is filed under the name uncultured bacterium. RNAcentral's name for it is "partial 16S ribosomal RNA". It matches the Rfam family "Bacterial small subunit ribosomal RNA", at positions 354 to 796 of the family's 1533-position model. The record is from RNAcentral.